AAUGUAACCACUCUUAAUACACAAUACACAGGCCCAGCCUUAGCAGAGAGUCCCAAAAUACAAUGUCCCUGACACACCAUACGCAUAUGAGUGACAUGCAUGACUGUAGAACGGUUUCUAAAGAACAAAACUGCCCUAUAAAUGACUAAUCAAGCACACAUAACUGCCAUAAUGUUCAUAGAACUGACCUAUAAUUUUCCAUAUAUAGUCAUUGUUGUUACUUUUUUAUUUUUUGUUCAUCAUUAUUGGAAGAUGCUUUGGCCUAACUGUCCUAUCAUUAUGGAAAUGUAGUAAUUGUUGUUUUUUACUUUUGCUGAUCACUAUUGGCAGAAGCUAUGCUUGAAAUACCAGAUUUUUUAUUCCUGUCCAAUAACAAGAUCCUUAGGGUGGGAGAACCGAGAUGUCUCCACCAUGGGAAACAGUUGUAGUGUGGUAGAUAUGCUUUUUGUUUAUUUUUCGGUCACUUUCCCAAUUUUUCUUAGGCUCCUCCUAUUCCCCCACAUGCCCAAAACCUCACGAUGUCACCUCCUCCCUUGAUCCACAUCUGAUGCUACUUUUCCUCCUUCAUGGCCUAACUGUCCUAUCAUUAUGGAUCUGUAGUAAUUGUUGUUGUUUUGUACUUUUGCUGAUCACUAUUGGCAGAAGCUAUGCUUGAAAUACCAGAUUUUUUAUUCCUGUCCAAUAACAAGAUCCUUAGGGUGGGAGAACUGAGAUGUCUCCACCAUGGGAAACAGUUGUAGUGUGGUAGAUAUGCUUUUUGUUUAUUUUUCGGUCACUUUCCCAAUUUUUCUUAGGCUCCUCCUAUUCCCCCACAUGCCCAAAACCUCACGAUGUUACCUCCUCCCUUGAUCCACAUCUGAUGCUACUUUUCCUCCUUCAUCACCAACAAGUGUGAAAUGUGGGAGAAGCUUUGAGAGGUUGUCUCAGUUAAUGAUUGAGGAGUCCGAGACAAUGGUGAGAGAAAAUGUUUGAGGGAGAAAUAAUAGAGGGGGAGGAAGGGUAGAAUGUGGCAGUGUGGCUCCACUGCUGUAGUGGUCAGGAGAACUCUUCAACUACCAGAUUUUCCUUGCCUUCUUUCGUGGCAUCACCACUACUGCUGUUCUCUCCAUUGUUGCACAUGUUCAAACUAGAAGAAUGGAUAUGAAUAAUGAUUUGUAGGUGUUUUGGAUGAAUUUUUAUCAAUUUUUGUAGAUCUCCUCUUGAAUCUUCUGUAUGCAACAAGUGGUGAUGUGUUCUUUUACUAUGGGGUUUUGAGGCAUUGAAAUAAAGAGAGGGGCUUUGGAAUAUUUGUGUAUGCCAGAGACAAGAAGGACUGAAAAUGAGGGUGAAUGUGGCUUUAGUGUUGUAGCUGGAGGGAGUGGAAGCUUCCUUGCCGCCGGUUGUGUUGUGAAAGAGAGAAAGGGAUUAUCGAGGAGCACAUUUUAAAAAAUAAGAAAAAAUAAAAAAUCUUAUCCACUUAUUUUAAAAUUAAUGUAUCCAUGGAUUAAAUGUCUUUCUGUGGAAACUUGUGCUUGUCUCCCAAGCUAGCUUUUGUCCAAUUACAAUCUUUUAAAGAGGACUAUUUUAAUGUGUUUGUUUUUGCUUUUGCUAAUCAUUAUUGUCUGAUGCUAUGCUUGAAAUAUAAGAUUCUGGGAUUUCUGUCAAAUAGCACUCAUGAGAACGGGACAACCUUCUCCUAAUCUAAACUUUCCGUACCAAAGCAAGUGCCCUUUAGGGCUUUGAUAAUGUUCUUUGAAUUAUAAAGAAUCUGAGGAGAGAAUCCUCCUUUCAAUUAGUUCCCCGUCAUGGAAGGUUUUACCUGUCUUACAACAGAGCUAAUGCUCAGUUUUCAUAUCUCAAAACAGAAUGAAUCAUCUUCUCUCUAAUUUUAGCUAACCAUCCAACUAAUUAUUCAAUUAAAUUAUCCUAACUAAUUGCUUUAUUUCCAUUUAAUAGAUGCAAUUUUUCUUAC
RNAcentral lists this long non-coding RNA (1951 nucleotides) under Phaseolus vulgaris (common bean). Its description in RNAcentral is "long non-coding RNA (PVUL_LNC004474)". Lineage: Eukaryota; Viridiplantae; Streptophyta; Magnoliopsida; Fabales; Fabaceae. The record is from RNAcentral.